UGUAUUCUGAGCCCUCUGCCUUCUGCAGAGAUCUCAGGUGCUGGCGCUAGCACUGGGUAUCUGAUUAAAUCUUAAAUUGUCAUCUGAGUCUGGAGUGCUGAACUCAGCAUUCCUCACUGGGCAGCACUGGAGGAUGAGCAGACCGGGGAGUCCUGAGGAAGAAAAGGAGGCAGCAGAGAAGGGACAGCCCAGGCCUGUGGCUGCCACAGCUCCAACCUCCCAGCAAGGAAGCACUUGUGUGAGGAGAGCCCUCCCUCUCUACAUGCAGCUGGAGACCGAGCCACAGCCAUGUCUGCAAUGUGCUUUUACUUAAAAGAGCAAAGACUGAAGUAAAUGCGGCAAAAGCUACAGCCGAUAAAGUUGGAUAGGGGGCGGGUGGUUCUUACGUAUUUAUCCAAUUUUUAUCUAUAACUUUCUUAGUGUUUGAAAUAUUUUAUGACAAUUUCUUAAAAAGAAGGGGAGGAAAACAAUUGCUCACCUGAUCAUAGACCCUCUGAUAAUCCCCUGCUUUCAGCAGCUCAGCCCACCCCUCUCUCCUUGACUGUUCUCUUCCAUCUUUGAUCUCAUCAUCCAUUGAUAUUUUUCUUCUCAAACUAGAACCCACAUGGAUCCCAAAUCUAUAUCCAGCCCAGACACCCUCUCUGAUCCAACUUCUUAUUAGAUAUCUCCACUGAGGUGUUUCUCCGACACCUCAUCCUCAAGACAUCCAAAACCCCCCCCUCCAAAUGCUUGUUGCCCACAGCUGGAAAGACUCGUUGAGAGAAGACACAUACCCAAGCAUCUUGUUGAGACUUUUGAAUGCUGAUGAUAAAGAAAAAAAUCUUUCAACCUUUUUAACAACAGAAAAGUUUUUCUACAAAUAAAAAAUCAACCUGA
Molecule: long non-coding RNA, 876 nt
Filed under: Equus caballus (horse)
Lineage: Eukaryota; Metazoa; Chordata; Mammalia; Perissodactyla; Equidae
Description: lncRNA (ENSECAG00000052395.1)
Source: RNAcentral